UACGGGGGGGGCAAGCGUUGUUCGGAAUUACUGGGCGUAAAGCGCGUGUAGGCGGCUCUUCAAGUCAGGCGUGAAAGCCCCGGGCUCAACUCGGGAACUGCGCUUGAUACUGUCGAGCUAGAGUGUGGAAGGGGCGAUUGGAAUUCCGUGUGUAGCGGUGAAAUGCGUAGAUAUACGGAGGAACACCAGAGGCGAGGGCGGAUCGCUGGGCCAACACUGACGCUGAGACGCGAAAGCUAGGGUAGCAAACGGG
Molecule: ribosomal RNA, 253 nt
Filed under: uncultured bacterium
Lineage: Bacteria
Description: partial 16S ribosomal RNA
Rfam family: Bacterial small subunit ribosomal RNA
Source: RNAcentral